GAAAUGCGAUAAGUAGUGUGAUUUGCAGAAUUCAGUGAAUCAUCGAAUCUUUGAACGCACAUUGCGCCCUUUGGUAUUCCUUAGGGCAUGCCUGUUCGAGCGUCAUUUGUAACCUCAAGCUCAGCUUGGUGUUGGGUGUCUGUCCCCGCCCCGCGCGGGGACUCGCCUCAAAAACAUUGGCGGCCGGUACGUUGGCUUCGAGCGCAGCAGAAACGCGAACUCGAGGCCCGACGGAUCGGCGACCAGAAGUCACUUCUUCCACAGCUUGACCUCGGAUCAGGUAGGGAUACCCGCUGAACUUAAGC
This 305-nucleotide unclassified non-coding RNA is filed under the name plant metagenome. RNAcentral's name for it is "partial contains 5.8S ribosomal RNA, internal transcribed spacer 2, and large subunit ribosomal RNA". The stretch from base 1 to 105 matches the Rfam family "5.8S ribosomal RNA", at positions 50 to 154 of the family's 154-position model. The record is from RNAcentral.